This 388-nucleotide ribosomal RNA is filed under the name uncultured eukaryote. RNAcentral describes it as "partial 18S ribosomal RNA". It matches the Rfam family "Eukaryotic small subunit ribosomal RNA", at positions 592 to 976 of the family's 1831-position model. The record is from RNAcentral.
CAAUAGCGUAUAUUAAAGUUGUUGCAGUUAAAAAGCUCGUAGUUGGAUUUCUGGUUCCGCUUGCGGCGGUCCGGCCUUAUUGGUCUGUGUACCGCUCGCAUGCAGCCAUCCUUCCGGGGAGCGCGUCUACCCUUCACUGGGCCGGACUGUGCGACCUGGAUCGUUUACUUUGAAAAAAUUAGAGUGUUUAAAGCAGGCUUACAGCUCUGAAUACAUUAGCAUGGAAUAAUAAGAUAGGACUCUGGUCCUAUUUUGUUGGUUUCUAGGACGAGAGUAAUGAUUGAUAGGGACAGUUGGGGGUGCUCGUAUUGAACGGCCAGAGGUGAAAUUCUUGGAUUCGUUCAAGACGAACUACUGCGAAAGCAUUCGCCAAGGAUGUCUUCUUUAA